GUACCUUCAACCAAGGCGCCUCUCCCAGACCCUGAGUGUCUUUCAGCUGUUCUUACUAUUCCUUUCUAUCAUGUUAAGACUGUGUUGAAAAUUGAAAAUUGCUUCCUUUAAUCUUUUCCUUUGAUCUUCUUUUUCCUCUCCUAGGGAUAAGCUGUGCCCUGAUAGAAUGGAGAUCAGCUGGAUGUUAUGUUUUCCUACACAAAAGGUUUCCUUUUGUAAUGUGUUUAUGAUUGGAAACUAGCCAUCAGGCAAAGGAGGCACUUCUGUUUUCACCUUGUUUGCAGGCCCAUCCUGUGUCUCUUGUUUAUCUUUCCAGCCCUCAGUCUCCUGAUGGACCUCCCUGCUCCUCAUGCUCUCCAGGAGACACAACUUUCAGGAGAAGAUGGGUUUUCUGUUUUCAGUAGACUUUUUCCAGCACUGCAAAACAGCUUCUAACUCUUUCAAACCUGAUGGUUCCCCCGGGUCCAUAUGAUUGAGGUUUUCUGCAGAAAAAUCCAGGACUGCUGAUUGUCCCUCCCUCGUCCAGCAAUCUCUCUCCGAUUUACUCUCCAGACUCCUGAGGUUCUGUGCUACCAUCAGUAACACUUCUUAAUGACCAGAGGUAUGGAUAGCCUUCAAGACCCGAAGCUUGGAGAUGUGACCAUCAUUCUCUGUGAUUCCACUUGUAAAAAUCUGAUCGAUCCCUUCCUAUCCACUACUGGGAGCAUCAGUAUGGAGGAGGAGCACCUCAGUGACAGAGCAAAGUGGUACACAACAGCUCCAAAAAGCUUCUGGGAAUAGGGGAAGCCCCUGCAACGAAGGGCUGCUUUGGGCCACCCCUGCAAGGAAGCUGUUUGACACUACUGUGGUCUCCCCUUCACCAGUGAGGGGUAUCCUUAAAGAGGGGUAGCUAUAAUAAAACUCAGCCAAAUGGUGGAA
Aptenodytes forsteri (emperor penguin) is the source of this 918-nucleotide long non-coding RNA. RefSeq lists it as uncharacterized. NCBI's taxonomy places the organism in Eukaryota, Metazoa, Chordata, Aves, Sphenisciformes, Spheniscidae. The transcript is spliced from 3 exons. The record is from RefSeq and is a predicted model, not a curated record.